CCUACGGGAGGCAGCAGUGAGGAAUCUUGGUCAAUGGGCGAAAGCCUGAACCAGCCAAGUCGCGUGAGGGAUGAAGGUUCUAUGGAUCGUAAACCUCUUUUAUAAGGGAAUAAAGUGUAGGACGUGUCCCGUUUUGUAUGUACCUUAUGAAUAAGGAUCGGCUAACUCCGUGCCAGCAGCCGCGGUAAUACGGAGGAUCCGAGCGUUAUCCGGAUUUAUUGGGUUUAAAGGGUGCGUAGGCGGCCUUUUAAGUCAGCGGUGAAAGUCUGUGGCUCAACCAGAGAAUUGCCGUUGAAACUGGGAGGCUUGAGUAUGUGUGAGGCAGGCGGAAUGCGUGGUGUAGCGGUGAAAUGCUUAGAUAUCACGCAGAACCCCGAUUGCGAAGGCAGCCUGCCAAGCCAUGACUGACGCUGAUGCACGAAAGCGUGGGGAGCAAACAGGAUUAGAUACCCCUGUAGUC
This 460-nucleotide ribosomal RNA is filed under the name uncultured bacterium. Its description in RNAcentral is "partial 16S ribosomal RNA". It matches the Rfam family "Bacterial small subunit ribosomal RNA", at positions 338 to 795 of the family's 1533-position model. The record is from RNAcentral.